CCUACGGGUGGCAGCAGUGAGGAAUAUUGGUCAAUGGACGAGAGUCUGAACCAGCCAAGCCGCGUGAAGGACGAAGGUGCCAAGCAUUGUAAACUUCUUUUGUCAAGGGACAAAAUCAGGCUCGAGAGCCUGACCGAGGGUACUUGAAGAAAAAGCAUCGGCUAACUCCGUGCCAGCAGCCGCGGUAAUACGGAGGAUGCGAGCGUUAUCCGGAUUUAUUGGGUGUAAAGGGUGCGUAGGCGGACGGUUAAGUCAGCGGUAAAAGCCCGGGGCUCAACCCCGGCGAGCCGUUGAAACUGGCUGUCUUGAGAUGUCGAGAGGUAUGCGGAAUGCGCAGUGUAGCGGUGAAAUGCUUAGAUAUUGCGCAGAACUCCGAUUGCGAAGGCAGCAUACCGGCGGCGAUCUGACGCUGAGGCACGAAAGCGUGGGUAUCGAACAGGAUUAGAUACCCGGGUAGUC
Molecule: ribosomal RNA, 459 nt
Filed under: uncultured bacterium
Lineage: Bacteria
Description: partial 16S ribosomal RNA
Rfam family: Bacterial small subunit ribosomal RNA
Source: RNAcentral